GCCUAACACAUGCAAGUCGAACGAGCAAAUACAUUUGAUUUCUUCGGAAUGAAGAUGUAGGCGCGAGUGGCGGACGGGUGAGUAACGCGUGAGUAAUCUGCCUCAUACAGGAGAAUAACACUAAGAAAUUGGUGCUAAUACUCCAUAAGCUCACAUUAUGACAUCAUAGAGUGAGAAAAGAUUUAUCGGUAUGAGAGGAGCUCGCGUCUGAUUAGCUAGUUGGUGGGGUAACGGCCUACCAAGGCAACGAUCAGUAGCCGACCUGAGAGGGUGAUCGGCCACAUUGGAACUGAGACACGGUCCAAACUCCUACGGGAGGCAGCAGUGGGGAAUAUUGCACAAUGGGGGAAACCCUGAUGCAGCAACGCCGCGUGAAGGAAGAAGUAUUUCGGUAUGUAAACUUCUAUCGACAGGGAAGAAACAAAUGACGGUACCUGAAUAAGAAGCACCGGCUAAAUACGUGCCAGCAGCCGCGGUAAUACGUAUGGUGCAAGCGUUAUCCGGAUUUACUGGGUGUAAAGGGUGAGUAGGCGGUCAUGCAAGUCAUAUGUGAAAUGUCAGGGCUUAACCUUGGCGCUGCAUAAGAAACUGUAUGACUAGAGUGCAGGAGAGGUAAGCGGAAUUCCUAGUGUAGCGGUGAAAUGCGUAGAUAUUAGGAAGAACACCGGUGGCGAAGGCGGCUUACUGGACUGUUACUGACGCUGAGUCACGAAAGCGUGGGGAGCAAACAGGAUUAGAUACCCUGGUAGUCCACGCCAUAAACGAUGAGUGCUAGGUGUUGGCCAGAGAUGGUCGGUGCCGCAGCAAACGCAAUAAGCACUCCACCUGGGGAGUACGACCGCAAGGUUGAAACUCAAAUGAAUUGACG
Molecule: ribosomal RNA, 868 nt
Filed under: uncultured bacterium
Lineage: Bacteria
Description: bacterial SSU rRNA
Rfam family: Bacterial small subunit ribosomal RNA
Source: RNAcentral